UGGAGAAUCGCUGGAGGGGUGGGGUGAGGCGCCGCUCGUGCUCAGAGCGAACUUUACAGCGCAGCUGAUCUCGCUCGAGCGGGAGCAGUGGGUGCUGAUAGCAGUCUACGCAGAGGCGGCCACAGCGACCAUGAGUGGCGGCAUGUUUAACCUGGACAGCGCGUUGAGCCAGCUGCAGAUCAGCAACCAGACACCGCACCAGUACACGGCCAGCGCUAACCGCAAGGUGGCGCCCGUGGUGCCACCCAAGCCGAAAAAGCCCCAGCCACAGGCGUCGUCGCCGCAGACGGCGGCCGUGUCGUCGGCGCC
Molecule: long non-coding RNA, 309 nt
Organism: Pollicipes pollicipes
Lineage: Eukaryota; Metazoa; Arthropoda; Thecostraca; Pollicipedomorpha; Pollicipedidae
Exons: 3
Source: RefSeq, a predicted model, not a curated record